UCUAACAAAAGUAUUGAAAGUUGAACAAAAGAACUUUGUCUUUUAAGUCUUUUUUUUUAAAGAAAAACAUAUCAUAAUUUCUUAUAAAACGUCCAAAAUUAAGGAUUUAUUCAAGAUUUUGUGAUAAUGCUGUGGAAAAUUCUUGUACUGAUGAGGAAAACCAACUGAGAUUAUUAGUGACUAAUAAAGGGUCACCGCCAACUAUUAUUGUGGCUCCAAUUUUGAGUCCUUUGAAUUGUACUUCUCUUCUUGUUCAGUCAGUGGCAUGUCCAAAGUUCGGUUUUGCGUCUGUUUGUGGACGUAGAAGAGAUAUGGAAGAUGCCGUGGCGAUUCAUCCUUCUUUUCUCCAAAUGGAACAAGAGAAUAAUGGUGCAGAUUUGCAUUAUUUUGGCGUCUAUGAUGGUCAUGGUUGCUCUCAUCACUUCGGCAUGAAGGUUAUAAAAUAAAAAAAAGGGUCCAAUAAAUAGAUCUAACUUGUAAGAUGAUGAGAGGAAUAAAUGCAACUUCAUAUUCAGCCGGUACAUUGACCCAGCUGAGCUUUGCCACUGGCCAGAUUUCUUCCACAGCCCAAGGGAUCGCAACAAGCUUCUAGAGGCGUGGUGGUUUUCGUGGGGGUAGAGGUCCGCCGGUUGUGGAGGCGGUUUUAGGGUUGGUACAGUUAAAUUUUGAAAAAGAAAUAUAAUGUACUUUUGAUCUGUC
Lycium barbarum (goji berry) is the source of this 699-nucleotide long non-coding RNA. RefSeq lists it as uncharacterized. The record is from RefSeq and is a predicted model, not a curated record. Lineage: Eukaryota; Viridiplantae; Streptophyta; Magnoliopsida; Solanales; Solanaceae. The transcript is spliced from 2 exons.